This 460-nucleotide ribosomal RNA is filed under the name uncultured bacterium. RNAcentral describes it as "partial 16S ribosomal RNA". It matches the Rfam family "Bacterial small subunit ribosomal RNA", at positions 338 to 795 of the family's 1533-position model. The record is from RNAcentral.
CCUACGGGGGGCAGCAGUGAGGAAUAUUGGUCAAUGGACGAGAGUCUGAACCAGCCAAGUAGCGUGAAGUAUGACUGCCCUAUGGGUUGUAAACUUCUUUUAUAUGGGAAUAAAAUGUUCCACGUGUGGGAUUUUGUAUGUACCAUAUGAAUAAGGAUCGGCUAACUCCGUGCCAGCAGCCGCGGUAAUACGGAGGAUCCGAGCGUUAUCCGGAUUUAUUGGGUUUAAAGGGAGCGUAGGUGGAUUGUUAAGUCAGUUGUGAAAGUUUGCGGCUCAACCGUAAAAUUGCAGUUGAAACUGGCAGUCUUGAGUACAGUAGAGGUGGGCGGAAUUCGUGGUGUAGCGGUGAAAUGCUUAGAUAUCACGAAGAACUCCGAUUGCGAAGGCAGUUCACUGGACUGCAACUGACACUGAGGCUCGAAAGUGUGGGUAUCAAACAGGAUUAGAUACCCCUGUAGUC